CUGUCAAGAAAAUAUGUUUAAGGUUAAGAGGCAGGAUUAAUCGGGAAGAAGGAAACACAUCACUGUAAUAGUCCUGCCUUAGGUCAAAAGGUGGACAUAUGGGCUGUGCCUCCUACUGAUCACUCAGUAUAUAAGGCACUGUAGAUCACAGUAAGACACAUUGAGAUCUGACCUCUCUUGGAAGAACCAAUUUGGAGGCUGCAGAGAUGAACCAUUUUCUGUGCCUUCUGGCCAUGGGGCUGUACCUGUGCUUGUUAAGCCAGGUGAAUGCAGAACGGCGCUUGAGGAGGAAUUGUAUCCUAAACGCAGUAAAUGACAACAAGGCCAGAGUGGACACGUACUAUGAUUACUCCAGAAAAUAGAGUUUAUCACGCGUAAAGAGGAAUGCUGUCGGACCUGCAGACAUCCUGCGGCUACUGAAGCAGCCUGCUCGUGUAGCCGGCGCGGUCUGCUCGUUGCCGACUACUGCGUUGUGUUCCGGUGCACUGAA
This is a long non-coding RNA of Coregonus clupeaformis (lake whitefish), 490 nucleotides long. RefSeq lists it as uncharacterized. The transcript is spliced from 4 exons. The record is from RefSeq and is a predicted model, not a curated record. Lineage: Eukaryota; Metazoa; Chordata; Actinopteri; Salmoniformes; Salmonidae.